CCUAGUGGAGCUAAUGGUUAAGUGCUUGACUGCUAACCAAAAGGUUGGUGGUUUGAACCCAUCCAGUGGCU
Molecule: transfer RNA, 71 nt
Filed under: Loxodonta africana (African savanna elephant)
Lineage: Eukaryota; Metazoa; Chordata; Mammalia; Proboscidea; Elephantidae
Rfam family: tRNA
About the family: Transfer RNA (tRNA) molecules are approximately 80 nucleotides in length. Their secondary structure includes four short double-helical elements and three loops (D, anti-codon, and T loops). Further hydrogen bonds mediate the characteristic L-shaped molecular structure. tRNAs have two regions of fundamental functional importance: the anti-codon, which is responsible for specific mRNA codon recognition, and the 3' end, to which the tRNAs corresponding amino acid is attached (by aminoacyl-tRNA synthetases). tRNAs cope with the degeneracy of the genetic code in two manners: having more than one tRNA (with a specific anti-codon) for a particular amino acid; and 'wobble' base-pairing, i.e. permitting non-standard base-pairing at the 3rd anti-codon position.
Source: Rfam by way of RNAcentral